AUAACUUUGCGAAAGCGAAGAUAAUACCUGAUAAGACUACAGUCUCUUAGGAGACAGUAGGAAAAGGUGGCCUCUGUCUCAUGCUAUCGUUUAUGGAUGAGCCCUCAUACUAUUAGCUUGUUGGUGAGGUAAUGGCUCACCAAGGCUACGAUGGUUAGCUGGUCUGAGAGGAUGAUCAGCCACACUGGAACUGAGACACGGUCCAG
RNAcentral lists this ribosomal RNA (206 nucleotides) under uncultured bacterium. Its description in RNAcentral is "partial 16S ribosomal RNA". It matches the Rfam family "Bacterial small subunit ribosomal RNA", at positions 143 to 334 of the family's 1533-position model. The record is from RNAcentral.